This 253-nucleotide ribosomal RNA is filed under the name uncultured bacterium. Its description in RNAcentral is "partial 16S ribosomal RNA". It matches the Rfam family "Bacterial small subunit ribosomal RNA", at positions 524 to 776 of the family's 1533-position model. The record is from RNAcentral.
UACGGAGGGGGCAAGCGUUGUCCGGAAUCAUUGGGCGUAAAGAGCGUGUAGGCGGCCAGAUAAGUCCGCUGUGAAAUCUCGAGGCUCAACUUCGAGCUGUCGGUGGAAACUGUCUGGCUAGAGUCCGGAAGAGGAGAGUGGAAUUCCUGGUGUAGCGGUGAAAUGCGCAGAUAUCAGGAAGAACACCUAUGGCGAAGGCAGCUCUCUGGGACGGUACUGACGCUGAGACGCGAAAGCGUGGGGAGCGAACAGG